RNAcentral lists this ribosomal RNA (467 nucleotides) under uncultured bacterium. RNAcentral describes it as "partial 16S ribosomal RNA". It matches the Rfam family "Bacterial small subunit ribosomal RNA", at positions 28 to 507 of the family's 1533-position model. The record is from RNAcentral.
GACGAACGCUGGCGGCGUGCUUAACACAUGCAAGUCGAACGGAAAGGCCUCUUUCGGGGGGUACUCGAGUGGCGAACGGGUGAGUAACACGUGAGUAACCUGCCCUUGACUUUGGGAUAACUUCAGGAAACUGGGGCUAAUACCGGAUAGGAGCUCCUGCUGCAUGGUGGGGGUUGGAAAGUUUCGGCGGUUGGGGAUGGACUCGCGGCUUAUCAGCUUGUUGGUGGGGUAGUGGCUUACCAAGGCUUUGACGGGUAGCCGGCCUGAGAGGGUGACCGGCCACAUUGGGACUGAGAUACGGCCCAGACUCCUACGGGAGGCAGCAGGGGGGAAGAUUGCACAAUGGGUGGAAGCCUGAUGCAGCAACGCCGUGUGCGGGAUGACGGCCUUCGGGUUGUAAACCGCUUUCGCUCAUGACGAAGCUUUGUGUGACGGUAGUGGGUAAAGAAGCACCGGCUAACUACGUG